RNAcentral lists this non-coding RNA (91 nucleotides) under unclassified sequences. Its description in RNAcentral is "RT-9 RNA". It matches the Rfam family "RT-9 RNA". From Rfam's summary of the family: Firmicutes. Nearby to self-splicing intron genes The record is from Rfam by way of RNAcentral.
GACUGCUGUGUUAAUCAGAUGCAGCAGCACGACUUGAUAAGUUCAAGAGAGUCAUGUUCUUUCGGCUAUGCCGUAAAAAUAAAGUACAAAC